GGUUAAGUGACUAAGCGUACACGGUGGAUGCCUUGGCAGUCAGAGGCGAUGAAAGACGUAGUAACUUGCGAUAAGCCCAGAUUAGGUAGUAACAACCAUUUGAGUCUGGGAUUUCUGAAUGGGGAAACCCACGUGCAUAAGCACGUAUCCUUACCUGAAUACAUAGGGUAAGGA
This 174-nucleotide ribosomal RNA is filed under the name Vibrio parahaemolyticus. RNAcentral describes it as "partial 23S ribosomal RNA". It matches the Rfam family "Bacterial large subunit ribosomal RNA", at positions 1 to 177 of the family's 2925-position model. The record is from RNAcentral. Lineage: Bacteria; Pseudomonadati; Pseudomonadota; Gammaproteobacteria; Vibrionales; Vibrionaceae.